CGUAGGAGACGAGCGUUAUCCGGAUUUACUGGGCGUAAAGCGUGUGCAGGCGGUUCGGCAAGUUGGAUGUGAAAUCUCCCGGCUCAACUGGGAGGGGUCGUUCAAUACUACCGAACUUGAGGUCAUCAGAGGAAGGUGGAAUUCCGGGUGUAGUGGUGAAAUGCGUAGAUAUCCGGAGGAACACCAGUGGCGAAGGCGGCCUUCUGGGAUGAUCCUGACGCUCAGACACGAAAGCUAGGGGAGCGAACGGGAUUAGAGACCCCGGUAGUCCUAGCUGUAAACGGUGUAGACUUGGCGUCGGAGGGUUCAAAACCUUCGGUGUCGUAGCUAACGCGAUAAGUCUACCGCCUGGGGACUACGGCCGCAAGGUUA
This 372-nucleotide ribosomal RNA is filed under the name uncultured organism. RNAcentral's name for it is "bacterial SSU rRNA". It matches the Rfam family "Bacterial small subunit ribosomal RNA", at positions 526 to 896 of the family's 1533-position model. The record is from RNAcentral.